RNAcentral lists this ribosomal RNA (576 nucleotides) under uncultured bacterium. Its description in RNAcentral is "bacterial SSU rRNA". It matches the Rfam family "Bacterial small subunit ribosomal RNA", at positions 69 to 637 of the family's 1533-position model. The record is from RNAcentral.
ACAGGAAGCAGCUUGCUGCUUCGCUGACGAGUGGCGGACGGGUGAGUAAUGUCUGGGAAACUGCCUGAUGGAGGGGGAUAACUACUGGAAACGGUAGCUAAUACCGCAUAACGUCGCAAGACCAAAGAGGGGGACCUUCGGGCCUCUUGCCAUCGGAUGUGCCCAGAUGGGAUUAGCUAGUAGGUGGGGUAACGGCUCACCUAGGCGACGAUCCCUAGCCGGUCUGAGAGGAUGACCAGCCACACUGGAACUGAGACACGGUCCAGACUCCUACGGGAGGCAGCAGUGGGGAAUAUUGCACAAUGGGCGCAAGCCUGAUGCAGCCAUGCCGCGUGUAUGGAGAAAGCCUUCGGGUUGUAAAGUACUUUCAGCGGGGAGGAAGGCGAUAAGGUUAAUAACCUUGUCGAUUGACGUUACCCGCAGAAGAAGCACCGGCUAACUCCGUGCCAGCAGCCGCGGUAAUACGGAGGGUGCAAGCGCUAAUCGGAAUUACUGGGCGUAAAGCGCACGCAGGCGGUCUGUCAAGUCGGAUGUGAAAUCCCCGGGCUCAACCUGGGAACUGCAUUCGAAACUGGC